CCUACGGGUGGCAGCAGUGAGGAAUAUUGGUCAAUGGACGAGAGUCUGAACCAGCCAAGUAGCGUGAAGGAUGACUGCCCUAUGGGUUGUAAACUUCUUUUAUAUGGGAAUAAAAUGUUCCCCGUUUGGGAUUUUGUAUGUACCAUAUGAAUAAGGAUCGGCUACCUCCGUGCCAGCAGCCGCGGUAAUCCGGAGGAUCCGAGCGUUAUCCGUAUUUCUUGGGUUUAAAGGGAGCGUAGGUGGAUUGUUAAGUCAGUUGUGAAAGUUUGCGGAUCAACCGUAAAAUUGCAGUUGAAACUGGCAGGCUUGAGUACAGUAGAGGUGGGCGGAAUUCGUGGUGUAGCGGUGAAAUGCUUAGAUAUCACGAAGAACUCCGAUUGCGAAGGCAGUUCACUGGACUGCAACUGACACUGAGGCUCGAAAGUGUGGGUAUCAAACAGGAUUAGAUACCCUAGUAGUC
This 460-nucleotide ribosomal RNA is filed under the name uncultured bacterium. Its description in RNAcentral is "partial 16S ribosomal RNA". It matches the Rfam family "Bacterial small subunit ribosomal RNA", at positions 338 to 795 of the family's 1533-position model. The record is from RNAcentral.